Molecule: non-coding RNA, 74 nt
Organism: Danionella cerebrum
Lineage: Eukaryota; Metazoa; Chordata; Actinopteri; Cypriniformes; Danionidae
Source: the annotation of a GenBank genome assembly
GCAGUCAUGGCCUAGUGGAUAAGGUGAUUGACUAGAGAUCGAAAGAUCGCUGGUUCGACCCCAGAUCCACUGCG